AUUGAACGCUGGCGGCAGGCCUAACACAUGCAAGUCGAGCGGAUGAAGGGAGCUUGCUCCUGGAUUCAGCGGCGGACGGGUGAGUAAUGCCUAGGAAUCUGCCUGGUAGUGGGGGAUAACGUCCGGAAACGGGCGCUAAUACCGCAUACGUCCUGAGGGAGAAAGAGGGGGAUCUUCGGACCUCACGCUAUCAGAUGAGCCUAGGUCGGAUUAGCUAGUUGGUGGGGUAAAGGCUUACCAAGGCGACGAUCCGUAACCGGCCUGAGAGGGUGAUCAGCCACACUGGAACUGAGACACGGUCCAGACUCCUACGGGAGGCAGCAGUAGGGAAUUUUCCGCAAAGGGCGAAAGCCUGACGGAGCAACGCCGCGUGAGUGAAGAAGGUCUUCGGAUUGUAAAACUCUUUUAUUAGGGAAGAAAAAAUGUGUAAGUAACUAUUCACGUUUUGACGGUACCUAAUCAGAAAGCCACGGCUAACUUCGUG
Molecule: ribosomal RNA, 484 nt
Filed under: uncultured bacterium
Lineage: Bacteria
Description: partial 16S ribosomal RNA
Rfam family: Bacterial small subunit ribosomal RNA
Source: RNAcentral